CCACACUGAGACCUGUCUUGCCUGAGUUACUGCACUUCAAGGAUCAAUAUAACCAGCUUUCAGAAGAAGCAUAUCAUAUACAAGGACGACAACCAGGUUGGCCCUGAUUUCUCCAGCAACACUGAAAUGAAGUUCUUUAAAAAGGUAGAAGCUGACCUUAAAUGCAGCCAAUAAGGAUAGAGUCAAAGACUUUGAGUGGCAAGCUCGCCGUGGGCUUCCCCAACGAGGGGGACUGCUCGGGAGGUGGCAGCCAGUGAUGUAAGCAUGAGACACUUGGCUGGUCUUCGACAACAGGAGUACGUCUCCCAUGCGGGCAGGGUGACGGUUGUACAAGUGCCAGCUCUUCAGCAUUCAAAGCAAGAAGUCGAAGCUGCUGCUAAAAAGCACAUGACACUCAUCUCUUAAUGUUUUUUGUCAUUUCUAAAAAUAAUCUUAGGGAAAUCUUUUAAACUGGUGAAGAACCAUUCAUCGAAUUUCAGCAAUCAUGUUUUCCCUUAAAAUUAAUUUUUCAUUUGAAA
Molecule: non-coding RNA, 518 nt
Organism: Ceratotherium simum simum (southern white rhinoceros)
Lineage: Eukaryota; Metazoa; Chordata; Mammalia; Perissodactyla; Rhinocerotidae
Source: RefSeq, a predicted model, not a curated record